UCUCCGUUGGUGAACCAGCGGAGGGAUCAUUACCGAGUUUACAACUCCCAAACCCCUGUGAACAUACCAUUUGUUGCCUCGGCGGUGCCUGCUUCGGCAGCCCGCCAGAGGACCCAAACCCUUGAUUCUAUACAGUAUCUUCUGAGUAAAUGAUUAAAUAAAUCAAAACUUUCAACAACGGAUCUCUUGGUUCUG
Molecule: unclassified non-coding RNA, 195 nt
Filed under: plant metagenome
Description: partial contains small subunit ribosomal RNA, internal transcribed spacer 1, and 5.8S ribosomal RNA
Source: RNAcentral